UACGUAGGGUGCGAGCGUUAAACGGAAUUACUGGGCGUAAAGCGUGCGCCGGCGGCUUUGCAAGACAGAUGUGAAAUCCCCGGGCUCAACCUGGGAACUGCAUUUGUGACUGCAAGGCUAGAGUACGGCAGAGGGGGAUGGAAUUCCGCGUGUAGCAGUGAAAUGCGUAGAUAUGCGGAGGAACACCAAUGGCGAAGGCAAUCCCCUGGGCCUGUACUGACGCUCAUGCACGAAAGCGUGGGGAGCAAACAGG
Molecule: ribosomal RNA, 253 nt
Filed under: uncultured bacterium
Lineage: Bacteria
Description: partial 16S ribosomal RNA
Rfam family: Bacterial small subunit ribosomal RNA
Source: RNAcentral